RNAcentral lists this unclassified non-coding RNA (402 nucleotides) under soil metagenome. Its description in RNAcentral is "partial contains 5.8S ribosomal RNA, internal transcribed spacer 2, and large subunit ribosomal RNA". The stretch from base 1 to 121 matches the Rfam family "5.8S ribosomal RNA", at positions 35 to 154 of the family's 154-position model. The record is from RNAcentral.
GAUGAAGAACGUAGCGAAAUGCGAUAAGUAAUGUGAAUUGCAGAAUUCAGUGAAUCAUCGAAUCUUUGAACGCACCUUGCGCCCUUUGGCUAUUCUGAAGGGCAUGCCUGUUUGAGUAUCGUGAACACCUCAACUCUCAUGGUCUGCCAUGAUGAGCUUGGACUUUGGGGGUCUUGCUGGCCUACUGUCAGCUCCUCUCAAAUGAAUCAGCUUACCAGUGUUUGGUGGCACCACAGGUGUGAUAACUAUCUACGCUUGUGGUUUUCUGCCAGGUAACCUCCAGUGAUGGAGGUUCGCUGGAGCUCACAAAUGUCUCUCCUCGGCGAGGACAGCUUUUUGAACGUUUGAUCUCAAAUCAGGUAGGACUACCCGCUGAACUUAAGCAUAUCAAUAAGCGGAGGA